UACGUAGGUGGCAAGCGUUAUCCGGAUUUAUUGGGCGUAAAGAGAACGCAGGCGGUCUUUUAAGUCUGACGUGAAAGCCUUCGGCUUAACCGGAGUAGUGCAUUGGAAACUGGGAGACUUGAGUGCAGAAGAGGAGAGUGGAACUCCAUGUGUAGCGGUGAAAUGCGUAGAUAUAUGGAAGAACACCAGUGGCGAAAGCGGCUCUCUGGUCUGUAACUGACGCUGAGGUUCGAAAGCGUGGGUAGCAAACAGG
This 253-nucleotide ribosomal RNA is filed under the name uncultured bacterium. RNAcentral describes it as "partial 16S ribosomal RNA". It matches the Rfam family "Bacterial small subunit ribosomal RNA", at positions 524 to 776 of the family's 1533-position model. The record is from RNAcentral.